GAUGAACGCUGGCGGCGUGCCUAAUACAUGCAAGUCGAGCGAACAGACGAGGAGCUUGCUCCUCUGACGUUAGCGGCGGACGGGUGAGUAACACGUGGAUAACCUACCUAUAAGACUGGGAUAACUUCGGGAAACCGGAGCUAAUACCGGAUAAUAUCUUGAACCGCAUGGUUCAAUAGUGAAAGACGGUUUUGCUGUCACUUAUAGAUGGAUCCGCGCCGCAUUAGCUAGUUGGUAAGGUAACGGCUUACCAAGGCGACGAUGCGUAGCCGACCUGAGAGGGUGAUCGGCCACACUGGAGCGGAGACACGGUCCAGACUCCUACGGGAGGCAGCAGUAGGGAAUCUUCCGCAAUGGGCGAAAGCCUGACGGAGCAACGCCGCGUGAGUGAUGAAGGUCUUCGGAUCGUAAAACUCUGUUAUUAGGGAAGAACAAAUGUGUAAGUAACUAUGCACGUCUUGACGGUACCUAAUCAGAAAGCCACGGCUAACUACGUG
This 497-nucleotide ribosomal RNA is filed under the name uncultured bacterium. Its description in RNAcentral is "partial 16S ribosomal RNA". It matches the Rfam family "Bacterial small subunit ribosomal RNA", at positions 28 to 507 of the family's 1533-position model. The record is from RNAcentral.